UACGUAGGGUGCAAGCGUUGUCCGGAAUUAUUGGGCGUAAAGAGCUCGUAGGCGGCUUGUCACGUCGACUGUGAAAACCCGGGGCUCAACUCCGGGCCUGCAGUCGAUACGGGCUGGCUUGAGUGCGGUAGGGGAGACUGGAAUUCCAGGUGUAGCGGUGAAAUGCGUAGAUAUCUGGAGGAACACCGGUGGCGAAGGCGGCAUCCUGGACCGGCAUUGACGCUGAGGCGCGAAAGCCAGGGGAGCAAACGGG
RNAcentral lists this ribosomal RNA (253 nucleotides) under uncultured bacterium. RNAcentral describes it as "partial 16S ribosomal RNA". It matches the Rfam family "Bacterial small subunit ribosomal RNA", at positions 524 to 776 of the family's 1533-position model. The record is from RNAcentral.